RNAcentral lists this ribosomal RNA (497 nucleotides) under uncultured bacterium. RNAcentral's name for it is "partial 16S ribosomal RNA". It matches the Rfam family "Bacterial small subunit ribosomal RNA", at positions 28 to 507 of the family's 1533-position model. The record is from RNAcentral.
GACGAACGCUGGCGGCGUGCCUAAUACAUGCAAGUUGAGCGCUGAAGGUUGGUACUUGUACCGACUGGAUGAGCAGCGAACGGGUGAGUAACGCGUGGGGAAUCUGCCUUUGAGCGGGGGACAACAUUUGGAAACGAAUGCUAAUACCGCAUAAAAACUUUAAACACAAGUUUUAAGUUUGAAAGAUGCAAUUGCAUCACUCAAGGAUGAUCCCGCGUUGUAUUAGCUAGUUGGUGAGGUAAAGGCUCACCAAGGCGAUGAUACAUAGCCGACCUGAGAGGGUGAUCGGCCACAUUGGGACUGAGACACGGCCCAAACUCCUACGGGAGGCAGCAGUAGGGAAUCUUCGGCAAUGGACGAAAGUCUGACCGAGCAACGCCGCGUGAGUGAAGAAGGUUUUCGGAUCGUAAAACUCUGUUGGUAGGGAAGAACGUUGGUGAGAGUGGAAAGCUCAUCAAGUGACGGUAACUACCCAGAAAGGGACGGCUAACUACGUG